This 253-nucleotide ribosomal RNA is filed under the name uncultured bacterium. Its description in RNAcentral is "partial 16S ribosomal RNA". It matches the Rfam family "Bacterial small subunit ribosomal RNA", at positions 524 to 776 of the family's 1533-position model. The record is from RNAcentral.
UACGUAGGGCGCAAGCGUUGUCCGGAAUUAUUGGGCGUAAAGAGCUCGUAGGCGGCUUGUCACGUCGGGUGUGAAAGACCGGGGCUUAACCCCGGUUCUGCAUUCGAUACGGGCUAGCUAGAGUGUGGUAGGGGAGAUCGGAAUUCCUGGUGUAGCGGUGAAAUGCGCAGAUAUCAGGAGGAACACCGGUGGCGAAGGCGGGUCUCUGGGCAGUAACUGACGCUGAGGAGCGAAAGCGUGGGGAGCGAACAGG